UGAGGAAUAUUGGUCAAUGGGCGGGAGCCUGAACCAGCCAAGCCGCGUGAGGGAAGAAGGCCCUAUGGGUCGUAAACCUCUUUUGUCAGGGAACAAAAGCGAGUAUGUAUACUAGUCUGAGUGUACCUGAAGAAAAAGCAUCGGCUAACUCCGUGCCAGCAGCCGCGGUAAUACGGAGGAUGCGAGCGUUAUCCGGAUUUAUUGGGUUUAAAGGGUGCGUAGGCGGCGAUGCAAGUCAGCGGUAAAACGCCCGGGGCUCAACCCCCGGGCGAGCCGUUGAAACUGCAGUGCUAGAGAAGGCGAGAGGUACGCGGAAUGCGCAGUGUAGCGGUGAAAUGCUUAGAUAUUGCGCAGAACUCCGAUUGCGAAGGCAGCGUACUGGCGCCUGACUGACGCUGAGGCACGAAAGCGUGGGGAUCGAACAGGAUUAGAUACC
RNAcentral lists this ribosomal RNA (436 nucleotides) under uncultured bacterium. RNAcentral describes it as "bacterial SSU rRNA". It matches the Rfam family "Bacterial small subunit ribosomal RNA", at positions 355 to 786 of the family's 1533-position model. The record is from RNAcentral.